RNAcentral lists this ribosomal RNA (617 nucleotides) under Lactiplantibacillus pentosus. Its description in RNAcentral is "bacterial SSU rRNA". It matches the Rfam family "Bacterial small subunit ribosomal RNA", at positions 48 to 647 of the family's 1533-position model. Lineage: Bacteria; Bacillati; Bacillota; Bacilli; Lactobacillales; Lactobacillaceae. The record is from RNAcentral.
GGGAGGUGAUCCAGCCGCAUUGAUUGGUGCUAGCAUAGUGAUUUACAUUUGAGUGAGUGGCGAACUGGGAGUAACACGUGGGAUACCUGCCCAGAAGCGGGGGAUAACACCUGGAAACAGAUGCUAAUACCGCAUAACAACUUGGACCGCAUGGUCCUAUUUGAAAGAUGGCUUCGGCUAUCACUUUUGGAUGGUCCCGCGGCGUAUUAGCUAGAUGGUGGGGUAACGGCUCACCAUGGCAAUGAUACGUAGCCGACCUGAUAGGGUAAUCGGCCACAUUGGGACUGAGACACGGACCAAACUCCUACGGGAGGCAGCAGUAGGGAAUCUUCCCGCACAAUGGACGAAAGUCUGAUGGGCAACGCCGCGUGAGUGAAGAAGGGUUUCGGAUCGUAAAACUCUGUUGUUAAAGAAGAAAUAUCUGAGAGUAACUGUUCAGGUAUUGACGGUAUUUAACCAGAAAGCCACUUCUAACUACGUGCCAGCAGCCGCGGUAAUACGUAGGUGGCAAGCGUUCCAUUUAUGGGCGUAAAGCGAGCGCAGGCGGUUUUAUAAGUCUGAUGUGAAGGCCUUCGGCUCAACCGAAGAAGUGCAGGGGUAACCUGGUAACCUGGAGG